GCCGGGGUGGCGGAAUUGGUAGACGCAGUGAAUUCAAAAUCCACCGGUAGCAAUACCAUGCGGGUUCAAGUCCCGCCCCCGGUACCA
RNAcentral lists this transfer RNA (87 nucleotides) under gamma proteobacterium symbiont of Ctena orbiculata. Its description in RNAcentral is "tRNA-Leu". It matches the Rfam family "tRNA". Rfam says of the family: Transfer RNA (tRNA) molecules are approximately 80 nucleotides in length. Lineage: Bacteria; Pseudomonadati; Pseudomonadota; Gammaproteobacteria. The record is from RNAcentral.